This 199-nucleotide ribosomal RNA is filed under the name uncultured bacterium. RNAcentral describes it as "partial 16S ribosomal RNA". It matches the Rfam family "Bacterial small subunit ribosomal RNA", at positions 334 to 525 of the family's 1533-position model. The record is from RNAcentral. RNAcentral also lists the same sequence under 1 other name.
UACUCCUACGGGAGGCAGCAGUAGGGAAUCUUCCACAAUGGACGAAAGUCUGAUGGAGCAACGCCGCGUGAGUGAAGAAGGUUUUCGGAUCGUAAAACUCUGUUGUUGGAGAAGAAUGUAUCUGAUAGUAACUGAUCAGGUAGUGACGGUAUCCAACCAGAAAGCCACGGCUAACUACGUGCCAGCAGCCGCGGUAAUA